GAUGAACGCUGGCGGCGUGCCUAAUACAUGCAAGUCGAGCGAACAGACGAGGAGCUUGCUCCUCUGACGUUAGCGGCGGACGGGUGAGUAACACGUGGAUAACCUACCUAUAAGACUGGGAUAACUUCGGGAAACCGGAGCUAAUACCGGAUAAUAUAUUGAACCGCAUGGUUCAAUAGUGAAAGACGGUUUUGCUGUCACUUAUAGAUGGAUCCGCGCCGUAUUAGCUAGUUGGUAAGGUAACGGCUUACCAAGGCAACGAUGCGUAGCCGACCUGAGAGGGUGAUCGGCCACACUGGAACGUGGACACGGUCCAGACUCCUGAGGGAGGCAGCAGUAGGGAAUCUUCCGCAAUAGGCGAAAGCCUGACGGAGCAACGCCACGUGAGUGAUGAAGGUCUUCGGAUCGUAAAACUCUGUUAUUAGGGAAGAACAAAUGUGUAAGUAACUAUGCACGUCUUGACGGUACCUAAUCAGAAAGCCACGGCUAACUACGUG
RNAcentral lists this ribosomal RNA (497 nucleotides) under uncultured bacterium. RNAcentral describes it as "partial 16S ribosomal RNA". It matches the Rfam family "Bacterial small subunit ribosomal RNA", at positions 28 to 507 of the family's 1533-position model. The record is from RNAcentral.